This 757-nucleotide small RNA is filed under the name uncultured Frankineae bacterium. Its description in RNAcentral is "bacterial SSU rRNA". The stretch from base 1 to 470 matches the Rfam family "Bacterial small subunit ribosomal RNA", at positions 1064 to 1533 of the family's 1533-position model. The record is from RNAcentral. Lineage: Bacteria; Bacillati; Actinomycetota; Actinomycetes; Frankiales.
GCCGUGAGGUGUUGGGUUAAGUCCCGCAACGAGCGCAACCCUCGUCCUAUGUUGCCACCGGGUUAUGCCGAGCACUCAUAGGAGACUGCCGGAGAAACUCCGGAGGAAGGAGAGGAUGACGUCAAGUCCGCAUGGCCCUUAAGCCCAGGGCUGCUAACGCGCUACAAUGCGCGGUACAACGGGCUGCGAUCUCGCAAGAGGGAGCCAAUCCCGAAAAGCCGCGCCCAGUUCGGAUCGGGGUCUGCAACCCGACCCCGUGAAGUUGGAGUCGCUAGUAAUGGCAGAUCAGCAUGCUGCCGUGAAUGCGUUCUCGGGCCUUGUACACACCGCCUGUCACACCCCGAAAGUAGGCAACAGAUGAAGCCGGUGGCCCAACCGUAAGGAGGGAGCCGUCCAGUCUGGGGCUUGUGAUUGGGGUGAAGUCAUAACAAGGUAGCCGUACCGGAAGGUGCGGCUGGAUCACCUCCUUUCUAAGGAGCAAUCCCUAGAGCCCUCGUCUUUUUGUUUGGACGGGGGAGACGUAAUGACAGGGUUAGGUAGACGCUUGGUUCUCGGAGCACCCGCACGUGCGGUUCUCAAGGAGCAGAUUUUUUUGUGUCCAGGCUCUUUGACAACCACAUAGCGAGCGUAGGCAUCUUCAUUUGGCCAAGCUAAGAAGGGCACACGGUGGAUGCCUUGGCGUCAGUAGGCGAGGAAGGACGUGACUGGCUGCGAAAAGCCUCGGGGAGCUGCCGAGUAAGCGUUGAUCCGAGGAUGU